GGUGAGAUGGGUGAGUGGCUUAAACCACCAGUUUGCUAAACUGACGUAUGGGAAACUGUACCGAGGGUUCGAAUCCCUCUCUCACCG
Molecule: transfer RNA, 87 nt
Filed under: Sphingobacteriales bacterium
Lineage: Bacteria; Pseudomonadati; Bacteroidota; Sphingobacteriia; Sphingobacteriales
Description: tRNA-Ser
Rfam family: tRNA
About the family: Transfer RNA (tRNA) molecules are approximately 80 nucleotides in length.
Source: RNAcentral